UAGGGAAUCUUCCACAAUGGGCGAAAGCCUGAUGGAGCAACGCCGCGUGUGUGAUGAAGGGUUUCGGCUCGUAAAACNCUGUUGUAAGAGAAGAAUGACAUUGAGAGUAACUGUUCAAUGUGUGACGGUAUCUUACCAGAAAGGAACGGCUAAAUACGUGUCAG
Molecule: ribosomal RNA, 164 nt
Filed under: uncultured bacterium
Lineage: Bacteria
Description: partial 16S rRNA
Rfam family: Bacterial small subunit ribosomal RNA
Source: RNAcentral